GCUUUACUGGAAGUGUGGGUCAUAUAAUUGAUCACUUAUGAACAUUUAGAGGUUCUAAAGAUUCAGUCCGUAGUUGUUUUUAUUUGUGUUCGUCUCCUUAAAAUCCCAGCAAUAUUUUACACAUUAAGCCAGAUUCAUAGUAGGCCAAAAAUUCACGUCUGUUAUGAAUAUAACAUUUGUUUCUUUCAGAUGUAACAAAAAAAAAAAAUACAACAUUUCUAAUAUAGUCUUUGCUAUGACAUUUAUCAAACAGCAUAGAUGGAAAUCAAUUAGACGUUUUGGCACCAAAAAAUUUAGAAAGCUCCUUGACAAUAGGUUUCUCUUUAAUAUCUUCCUCCCUACUGAGAUGCCAUUUCUUUGAUUUGUCUUCUGCCUGAAAUCAGAAGCUCCUUGUUAGUACAAGAAGAAAAGUAAAAAGGGUAAGGAUUAAAAUUGUAUAAUUGGCAUACCCAUGUUUUUAAAGGCACCAAUUGCUCUCUAAUAAUCUCAAAUUUUGGCUGAACCAAAUCUUUCCCUUUAGUUCUGAUAUCAUCACUAUUGUGCAGGUCUAGCAUGGAGACUGCCAAACUGAACACCACUGCGGCUCCACCAAACACAAUUGCAGUAGCAACUGCAAAUGCCUUUCCAAUCUGUGUGAGCCCUUCAGCUGCAGCCUUCAAUUUCUCUGGAUUUAUAGGGGUAUAUCUGUCUUUUCUCAUUUCGUUCGCCGUCGACGCCAACACCGAGUUCUCUUGUGACGGCAAUUCCCACCUUUUGGGGCCAAAGGUGACCUGAGGCAGAGAUAGAUAAGCUCUCAGAGGAUUCAAAGCAUCAGGGGACACAGUGGAGGCCUUACUGGCAUGGGAGUGCAGUGCCCACUUGGAGGCUGUGGAAAGAGACGAUGAAUCGGACGGUUUCCCGUAGAUGUAGGAGGGAAGGGAAUGCCUCAAGACCUCCGGAAGAAUGUCAGCUUGGGAUUCGUGCUCGCUUGAAAGAGGAGAGGACGGGAGGUUCUUGGAGGUGGGGAUGGAUUUCUCAGCAAGCCGGUUAACGGCAUGUUUGGAUUCCUGGAAAAAGUAGGCAGCUUCUUUUCCUGCUAGCCUUCCCGCGAGAAAACUCAUUCUCUAUGCGGAUGUUGGAUUCGAUGUGAUCGACUAGAUUUUGAUUUGGCUUGUUUUUACUCUCUUGAGGUAUUUAAUGGCUUGUUU
Molecule: unclassified non-coding RNA, 1187 nt
Filed under: Hevea brasiliensis (rubber tree)
Lineage: Eukaryota; Viridiplantae; Streptophyta; Magnoliopsida; Malpighiales; Euphorbiaceae
Source: RNAcentral